RNAcentral lists this ribosomal RNA (346 nucleotides) under Chaetomium sp. 71a. RNAcentral describes it as "SSU rRNA". It matches the Rfam family "Eukaryotic small subunit ribosomal RNA", at positions 1217 to 1590 of the family's 1831-position model. Lineage: Eukaryota; Fungi; Ascomycota; Sordariomycetes; Sordariales; Chaetomiaceae. The record is from RNAcentral.
ACCAGUCCAGACACGAUGAGGAUUGACAGAUUGAGAGCUCUUUCUUGAUUUCGUGGUGUGGUGCAUGGCCGUUCUUAGUUGGUGGAGUGAUUUGUCUGCUUAAUUGCGAUAACGAACGAGACCUUAACCUGCUAAAUAGCCCGUAUUGCUUUGGCAGUACGCCGGCUUCUUAGAGGGACUAUCGGCUCAAGCCGAUGGAAGUUUGAGGCAAUAACAGGUCUGUGAUGCCCUUAGAUGUUCUGGGCCGCACGCGCGCUACACUGACAGAGCCAGCGAGUACUCCCUUGGCCGGAAGGCCCGGGUAAUCUUGUUAAACUCUGUCGUGCUGGGGAUAGAGCAUUGCAAU